This 253-nucleotide ribosomal RNA is filed under the name uncultured bacterium. Its description in RNAcentral is "partial 16S ribosomal RNA". It matches the Rfam family "Bacterial small subunit ribosomal RNA", at positions 524 to 776 of the family's 1533-position model. The record is from RNAcentral.
UACAGAGGUCUCAAGCGUUGUUCGGAAUCACUGGGCGUAAAGGGCUCGUAGGCGGCCAACUAAGUCAGACGUGAAAUCCCUCGGCUUAACCGGGGAACUGCAUCUGAUACUGGAUGGCUUGAGAUUGGGAGAGGGAUGCGGAAUUCCAGGUGUAGCGGUGAAAUGCGUAGAUAUCUGGAGGAACACCGGUGGCGAAGGCGGCAUCCUGGACCAACACUGACGCUGAGGAGCGAAAGCCAGGGGAGCAAACGGG